This 514-nucleotide long non-coding RNA is filed under the name Salmo salar (Atlantic salmon). RNAcentral's name for it is "lncRNA (ENSSSAG00000085453.1)". The record is from RNAcentral. Lineage: Eukaryota; Metazoa; Chordata; Actinopteri; Salmoniformes; Salmonidae.
CACACUGACGACGACUAUGAGCUAGAAUCCAGCUCGUGGACUGUCAGUGAUGCAGCCAUGGCAACCCUGGACCACUGACGUCACCAAUCGGGUGGGAGGAUGCGGUCUGUGAUUGGGCUACAGCUGUCCAGAUGUGCUGGGGAGGAGAGAGUUCCCUAUCCGACCGGGACGACCAAACACACAGGCUGCUGGGAAAGAGGGACCUCUGAACAUCCUGUCCUCAAUCAAGUACACCAGGUGUGAGCUGCAGCCUCGAGCUAGCCGUAUCCCCAUCAGGAGGGCGGAGUCAACCACAGACACGCCCACUGCUGGCCUUAACCCCGCCUCCUCUGGCAGCUGGGAGGAGUCAACUACCAUGAGGGUCUGGAGACUCUUGAAACCUGGAUACCCCCUAACCCUAGGUGUGUCGGAGAAGGAGGUUCCUUCGUUGCGUGUUGUUUCCAGAGCGCUGCUGAAGAACACGGACAGGAGAUCCCUCUAUACACAUUCCACCACAGAGCCCCAAGUAACCACC